Molecule: ribosomal RNA, 650 nt
Filed under: uncultured bacterium
Lineage: Bacteria
Description: bacterial SSU rRNA
Rfam family: Bacterial small subunit ribosomal RNA
Source: RNAcentral
AUGCAGUCGAACGAAGUAGCAAUACUUAGUGGCAGACGGGUGAGUAACAUGUGGGUAUCUACCCUUUGGCCUGGAAUAACACGAGGAAACUUGUGCUAAUACCGGAUAAGUCUUUACAGAGAAAGCUUUAUGCACCAUUGGAUGAGCCCGCACUUGAUUAGUUUGUUGGUAGGGUAAUGGCCUACCAAGACUAUGAUCAAUAGCUGAUUUGAGAGGAUGAUCAGCCACAUUGGGACUGAGACACGGCCCAAACUCCUACGGGAGGCAGCAGUGGGGAAUCUUGCACAAUGGAGGAAACUCUGAUGCAGCGAUGCCGCGUGAGUGAAGAAGGCCUUUGGGUUGUAAAGCUCUUUCGUCGGGGAAGAAAAUGACUGUACCCGAAUAAGAAGGUCCGGCUAACUUCGUGCCAGCAGCCGCGGUAAUACGAAGGGACCUAGCGUAGUUCGGAAUUACUGGGCUUAAAGAGUUCGUAGGUGGUUGAAAAAGUUGGUGGUGAAAUCCCAGAGCUUAACUCUGGAACUGCCAUCAAAACUUUUCAGCUAAAGUAUGAUAGAGGAAAGCAGAAUUUCUAGUGUAGAGGUGAAAAUUCGUAGAUAUUAGAAAGAAUACCAAUUUGCGAAAGGCAGCUUUCUGGGAUCAUUACUGACACU